UAAGCGGAGGAAAAGAAACUAACANGGAUUCCCCUAGUAACUGCGAGUGAAGCGGGAAAAGCUCAAAUUUGGAAUCUGGUGGUCUUUGNCCAUCCGAGUUGUAAUUUAGAGAAGCGUCUUCCGCGCUGGACCGUGCACAAGUCUCCUGGAAUGGAGCGUCAUAGAGGGUGAGAAUCCCGUCUUUGGCAUGGAAUCCCAGGGCUUCUGUGUUGCGCUCUCGACGAGUCGAGUUGUUUGGGAAUGCAGCUCAAAAUGGGUGGUGAACUCCAUCUAAAGCUAAAUAUUGGCGAGAGACCGAUAGCGAACAAGUACCGUGAGGGAGAGAUGAAAAGCACUUUGGAAAGAGAGUGAAACAGUACGUGAAAUUGUUGAAAGGGAAACGCUUGAAGUCAGUCGCGUCGACCGAGACUCAGCCUUGCCUCGGCUUGGUGUACUUCUCGGCUUGACGGGUCAGCAUCGAUUUCAAACCUCGGAUAAUGGCAAGGGAAAGGUAGCACCUUUUUAGGUGUGUUAUAGUCCUCUGUCGCAUGCGAGGGUCGGGAUCGAGGAACUCAGCACGCACCUCAGGGUGUCGGGGCCUUGGCCCACGUUUACGUGCUUAGGAUGCUGGCGUAAUGGCUUUAAACGACC
This 630-nucleotide ribosomal RNA is filed under the name uncultured Russulaceae. RNAcentral's name for it is "LSU rRNA". It matches the Rfam family "Eukaryotic large subunit ribosomal RNA", at positions 47 to 649 of the family's 3401-position model. Lineage: Eukaryota; Fungi; Basidiomycota; Agaricomycetes; Russulales; Russulaceae. The record is from RNAcentral.